AUUGAGUGGAAUGGUGGGUGAAAUCGUCCGUACUACAGGGAAACUGUUAACUGUCUAGUCUAUUACAAAACAUCUUUCGAGAUGCUGGAUUACAGUGAUGGGCAUUUGAGGAAGGUGGGGAAAGGGAGGGGACAUAAAAAUCUAUGGCUUCCUCUAGACAAUAGGAGAAAAGGCUGCGAGAAAAGAUGGCCAACCAUGGAGCUGUCACAUCAGAAGCACUCCACCAAAACUGGAAAGCAGAUGCAAAAUCAUGGGGCAUGGCUCUUCUGUUGAACAACACUGAUAGCAAAUGUUAGACCCUUGCAUAAAGUUGCUGACUGCUGUCUACUGAA
Chelonoidis abingdonii (Abingdon island giant tortoise) is the source of this 332-nucleotide long non-coding RNA. RefSeq lists it as uncharacterized. The record is from RefSeq and is a predicted model, not a curated record. Lineage: Eukaryota; Metazoa; Chordata; Testudines; Testudinidae.